This 253-nucleotide ribosomal RNA is filed under the name uncultured bacterium. Its description in RNAcentral is "partial 16S ribosomal RNA". It matches the Rfam family "Bacterial small subunit ribosomal RNA", at positions 524 to 776 of the family's 1533-position model. The record is from RNAcentral.
UACGUAGGGUGCGAGCGUUGUCCGGAAUUAUUGGGCGUAAAGAGCUUGUAGGCGGUCUGUCGCGUCUGCUGUGAAAAUCCGGGGCUCAACCCCGGACUUGCAGUGGGUACGGGCAGACUAGAGUGUGGUAGGGGAGACUGGAAUUCCUGGUGUAGCGGUGAAAUGCGCAGAUAUCAGGAGGAACACCGGUGGCGAAGGCGGGUCUCUGGGCCGAUACUGACGCUGAGGAGCGAAAGCGUGGGGAGCAAACAGG